This is a small nucleolar RNA of Larimichthys crocea (large yellow croaker), 69 nucleotides long. Its record names the gene SNORD58. It matches the Rfam family "Small nucleolar RNA SNORD58". Rfam says of the family: snoRNA U58 is found in introns 1, 3 and 6 of the ribosomal protein RPL17 gene in humans. U58 is a member of the C/D class of snoRNA which contain C (UGAUGA) and D (CUGA) box motifs. Lineage: Eukaryota; Metazoa; Chordata; Actinopteri; Sciaenidae. The record is from Ensembl.
CGGCUGUGAUGACUUCUUAGGACACCUUUGGAUUACACAUGAAAACAACCUGAUGAAGAUCUGAGCCUC